UACGAAGGGGGCUAGCGUUGCUCGGAAUCACUGGGCGUCAAGGGCGCGUAGGCGGAUUGUUAAGUCAGGGGUGAAAUCCUGGAGCUCAACUCCAGAACUGCCUUUGAUACUGGCGAUCUUGAGUCCGGGAGAGGUGAGUGGAACUGCGAGUGUAGAGGUGAAAUUCGUAGAUAUUCGCAAGAACACCAGUGGCGAAGGCGGCUCACUGGCCCGGUACUGACGCUGAGGUGCGAAAGCGUGGGGAGCAAACAGG
This 253-nucleotide ribosomal RNA is filed under the name uncultured bacterium. RNAcentral's name for it is "partial 16S ribosomal RNA". It matches the Rfam family "Bacterial small subunit ribosomal RNA", at positions 524 to 776 of the family's 1533-position model. The record is from RNAcentral.